GUCUACAGCCAUACCACCUGAAUACGCCUGAUCUCAUCUGAUCUCAGAAGCUAUGCAGUGUUGGACCUGGUUAUUACCUGGACAGGAGAAAAUGGGUCACAGUUUUCU
This 108-nucleotide ribosomal RNA is filed under the name Octodon degus (degu). The record is from RNAcentral. Lineage: Eukaryota; Metazoa; Chordata; Mammalia; Rodentia; Octodontidae.